AAAGAAAGCGUAAUAGCUCACUGGUCGAGUCGGCCUGCGCGGAAGAUGUAACGGGGCUAAACCAUGCACCGAAGCUGCGGCAGCGACGCUGAUGCGUUGUUGGGUAGGGGAGCGUUCUGUAAGCCUGCGAAGGUGGCCUGUGAGGGUUGCUGGAGGUAUCAGAAGGGCGAAUGCUGACAUAAGUAACGAUAAAGCGGGUGAAAAGCCCGCUCGCCGGAAGACCAA
RNAcentral lists this ribosomal RNA (225 nucleotides) under Salmonella enterica subsp. enterica serovar Derby. Its description in RNAcentral is "partial 23S ribosomal RNA". It matches the Rfam family "Bacterial large subunit ribosomal RNA", at positions 1125 to 1348 of the family's 2925-position model. Lineage: Bacteria; Pseudomonadati; Pseudomonadota; Gammaproteobacteria; Enterobacterales; Enterobacteriaceae. The record is from RNAcentral.